UGUAUUUCCCAUUUCCAUUCUCAAUUUUAUUUUGCUGUCAUAUUAAACUUGAAAAGUGAGCUAACAAAAAAAAAAAUAUGCAAGAAAUGUCAUAAAACUGACUCUGAAUUAGGACAUGAAAUUGAUGUAGAACUAACAAACUGAAGAUGAUCAGGAAUAUGAGUGGUUUUUCGUUCGAGUCUGAUUUUUUUCACUUAACCCCUUCAUCGCUAUCAAUUAAAAUUAUUUAGUCAAAAUUUAACACUAGUAUUAAGGUUUAUCAUAACAAAUUGGCAAAUACAGUCGUAUUAUCACCCAAAAAUCUACUGUGUACAGACUUACCUGUGCGGAUUGGGAAGUUUUAAAUAUUUUUAGAUAUAUAAAAGUUAAAUUUAUUUUGCAUAUCUGAAAGAUAAAAUCAUUUUUGGUGAAGAUCUGGAUUCAAAAUAUUUUUUUUGUCCUCUGCUUGAACAGAUUUUUUUU
Molecule: long non-coding RNA, 462 nt
Filed under: Mytilus galloprovincialis (Mediterranean mussel)
Lineage: Eukaryota; Metazoa; Mollusca; Bivalvia; Mytilida; Mytilidae
Source: RNAcentral